UACCGAAGACUGCAGCAUUAAUAUAUAGCUAUUAAGGCGAUGAAGAAAAAAUUGCGUAAAAAUUUACAACUGACAAAUAAGAUAUUAUUAAAAUUUAAUUUUCUUAAUAUUUUAUUUAACGAUGACAAACGCAAGAUAUCAGAGCUUUUCAUA
Molecule: small nucleolar RNA, 153 nt
Organism: Plasmodium berghei ANKA
Lineage: Eukaryota; Apicomplexa; Aconoidasida; Haemosporida; Plasmodiidae
Source: RefSeq, a predicted model, not a curated record